Molecule: non-coding RNA, 32 nt
Filed under: Homo sapiens (human)
Lineage: Eukaryota; Metazoa; Chordata; Mammalia; Primates; Hominidae
Source: RNAcentral
UGGCCCCCUGGUGGGCGAGAGAGACUGGUCUA